AAAAAAACAGCGUUAAGCACGUUUUCCACCCUGAGUUACACAGAGGAACAUUCCUCGUCGUGCUCCGACCACCGCGCAGCCAGUUCCAACACCGAGAUGACUCCAGUGUACGAGCUCACCAGGAAGAGGACGAGGACGACCCUCCUCACGCCCAGCCCCACACUCGCCAGCGGGGGUGCGAGCCCCGUUGUCAGCCCCGCACGCCAAUCAGGGCGGCCCGCCUGCCUUCCUGUAGGUGUGCCCGGCUCACCUGGGAGCCGCGGUGCUGAUGACAUACCUGCAGCCCCGGGGGAAGCACAGAGAUAGUCUGCUGUCGCCCAGGGCAGGGGGGCUACAGCCGGAACGGCGCCGGGGGCAGCACUGGCCCCGACCCGGCCGCCGCAGGUAAGUUACUUGUCCCAGUGUAUGGAUGUAAAUGAAGAUGGCGUGUUUCAUUGUUUUGGAUCAGGGUAAUAUAUGGCAAGAUUAUCACUCCAGUAAAGCUAUCAGUCAGUAACACCGGUGCUUCACAGUAUUAGACCUGAGAAAUGCCUUUCCUGCAUCCCACUUGAAUGUUUACGUCAGAAGCUGUUUGUAUUUGAGUGGAAGAAAAACCCAAUUCACUGGGUGUACAUAGUGCUGCCAGAGGGAUUUAAGAGCAGCCCAUCUAUCUAUGGCAAUCAACUAGCAAAGGAGCUGGAAUUGUGGAGGCAGGAAAAUAGAGAGGGAAUUACGUUGCAGUACAAUGAUGACGUAUUGCGAGCCGGCAAGUCUUGAGAAGAAUGUUUAGAAUUAACCAUUAGGUGUGGGAAUAGCAGAAAGACUAUUCAGAGCAGUGGCUGUGAAGCAAGAUAAACAGCAUGAGAAAGCAAUGCUGGGAACUAAGGAUAUCUCUAGAGGAAAAGCAAGAGGAACGGCCCAUGGCUUUUAUUGCAUAAGCACCUGUAUGCAUGGUUAAAGAGUGUUUGUGGAAUACUUUGUUGAUGUGUAAAGGCAGAUGAAAAAUCUGGUGUGCUCUAGACCACAAAGCAAAAAGAAAGUGUCUUGCUGGACUCAAAUGCAGAAGGAAGUGGACAUGCUGGGCAGAAAUCUGGAAGCAGUAGUCAUUGCUGGACAUAAACCAAGAAAGAAUGGGUCUAGCUGGACAGAAACCAAGAUGGAAGGGGUCAUGCUCAGCCCAAAGCCAGAAGAAAUUGGACUUGCUUUGCAAAAACCAUGAAGGAAGGAGGAUUGAAGGGCUGAAUGCCAGAAGGAGUGUGGCUUUCUGGGCCCAAAGCCAGAAGGUAAGGUUCUUCCUUAGCCAAAAGAAAUAAAGAAUGGUUUUGCUGCUCCAAAAUCCAGAAGGAAGGGGGCUUGUAAGACCAUACCAAGAAGAAAUGGGGAGUGCUGGGCCACAAACCAAGAAGAAGGGGUUUUGCUGGACUGAAACCCAGAAGGAAGGCAGCUUGCUGGGAAGAAACCAAGAAGGAAGGUGGCAGGGUGGGCAGACAGCCAGAAGGAACGGGGCUUCCUAGGCCAAAACGGAGAAGGAAAGGGGCUUGCUGGGCAGAAAUCCAUAAAGCAGAGUUCUUGCUGGGCAGAAACCAAGAAGGAAGCGGGUUCACUGGGAAGAAACCCAGAUCGAAGAGGUCUUGCUGGGCCCAAAGCCAGAAAAAAUUGGACUUGCUAUGCUGAAAGGGUGAAGAAAAGGAGUUUGAAUUGCCAAACGUCAGAAGGAAUGUGGCUUUGUGGGCCCAAAGCCAUAAGGAAAGGUCCCUGUUGGGACAAAAUGAAUAAAGAAUGGGUUUUCUGCUCCCACACCCAGAAGGAAGAGGGCUUGUAAGGCCAUACCCAGAAGAGAGGGGGAGUGCUGGACAACAAACCAGAGGGAAGGAGUCUUGCGGGACUGAAAACCCUGAAAAAGGGGACUUUCUGGAGCGAAAUUCAGAAGGAAAGGGGUUUGCAGGGAAAAAAGCAGGAAGAAAGGGGCAUCCUGUGUCGAAACCCAGAAGGAAGGGGUCUUACUGGACUGAAACCCAGAUGCAAAGGAAACUGGCUUGCUGGGAAAAAAGGCAGGAAGAUUGGAACAUCCUGUGCCAAAACCCAGAAGAUAGGGGUCUUGCUGGUCCAUACCCAGAAAAAAUUGGGCAAGCUAGGCCACAAAGAAUAAAGAAGGGAUUUUGCAGGACUGAAAUGCAGAGGGAAGUGGACGUGCUGGUUAGAAAUCCACACACAAUAGACAUUGCUGGACAGAAACUAAGAAGUGGAUCUUGCUGGACAGAAACCUAGAAGUAAGGGGACUUCCUGGGGCUAAACUCAGAAGGAAGGGGAAAAAAGGCAGGAAGAUAGGGUCAUCCUGUGCGGAAACCCAGAAGGAAGUGGGCUUGCUGGUCCAUACCCAGAAAGAAGUGUGAGUGCUGGACAACAAAGCAUAAAGAAGGGGUUUUGCUGGACUGAAACGCAGAAGUAAGGGGUCUUGCUGGGCAGAAAAUCUGAGGAAAGAGAGAUUUCUGGGCCAAAACACAGAAGGAAGGGGCCUUCCUGUUGAAGGUUAUUUGUGGUCAGAAAUGUAAAUGGAAGUGGUUGAUUGCUGGGCCAAACCCAAGAGGGAAGACGGCUUGCUGGACUUAAAGGCAGAAGGAAUGGGCUUUCCAGUGCCCAAACCCAGUAAGAAAGCAGGCCUGUAGCUCCAUAUCCAGAAACAAUUGGGAGUGCUUUGCCACAAAGCAAAGGAAGUGGUCUAGCUGGACUUAAACGCAGGAGAAAGUCAACAUGCUGGGCAGAAGUCCACAAGCAAAGGCACUGCUGGACAGAAACCAAGAAGGAAUAGAUCUUGCUGGACUGAAACUCAGAUGGAAGGGUACUGGCUAGGAAAAAAGGCAAGGAAAAAAUGGGCAUAAUGUGCCAAAACCCAGAAUGAAGGGGUCUUGUGGGUUCAUAUCCAGAAAAAAUCAGGUGUGCUGGGCCACAAAGCAAAAAGAAGGGGUCUUGUUGAACUGAAACGCAGAAAGAAGUGGAUAUGCUUGGCAGGAAUCUGCAAGCAAUUGACAUUGCUAGACAGAAACCAAAAGUAAUGGGUCUCGCUGCAAAGAAACCCGGAAGGAAGGGGACUUUCUAGGGCUAAACUCAGAUGGAAGAGCGUCUGCUGUGAAAAAAGGCAGGAAGAAAUGGGCAUCCUGUGUCUAAACUCCAUAUGGAAUGGUGCUUGCUGAUCUGUACCCAGAAGGAAGCAGGAGUGAGGGAGCACAAAGCAUAAAGGAGGCGUUUUGCUGGACUGAAAUGCAGAAGGAAGGGAAC
Long non-coding RNA from Gallus gallus (chicken), 3255 nucleotides. The record is from Ensembl. Lineage: Eukaryota; Metazoa; Chordata; Aves; Galliformes; Phasianidae.